GAGAGCACAGUACGAUGAAAGUUGUAAGCUGUGUUCGGGGGGGGGGGGGGGGGGGGGGAGUUAUUGUCUAUCGUCGGC
This 78-nucleotide non-coding RNA is filed under the name Rosa chinensis. Lineage: Eukaryota; Viridiplantae; Streptophyta; Magnoliopsida; Rosales; Rosaceae. The record is from RNAcentral.